UUUUACUUGCCUAGCUUUACCUGUGUGCUUUUCAGCUCUCCCCCAAUCUUGAAUCAAUUAAUAUAAAUCCAACUAGUUCUAUAUUUCUCUUCAACAAACUUGUAGAUUUUGUGGGUGAUUGACCGAAAGGAAUACAUGCUUAUUCGUCUCAGGUUUUUCUUUUUUUGUUAAUUAUUUAUUUAUUUCUGAUUUUGAAUCUCCACUGAGCUUUUUGUUAAUUAAUUUGUUGGGAUGUUAGGGUUGUUUUGAAAGUUGUCUUUCGAAAAUGGAUAGAAAGAUGUAUCAUAAAGACCCGUGAGAAUAAAACGGCAUGGGAGGAAUUGGCAAGAUUAAGGUAAUCUCUAACUCUUUCUGGAUAUUAUCUGAAAAUUUCUUUCAGUUACUUCUUUUUUUUAUCAUCAUAUAUGAAAAUAAAAAAGCAAUAUCUUGAAACAAAUUCUACUUUAAGCUUCUUUUUAGAAGGAAGGAAACGUGUAUUUUCUUGGAAAUUAAAAUUACUUGAAUUCUUUAUCAUGAGGAAUUCCGUACAUGAAUAAGGCUAUUGUUCCUGUUUUUCUUAAGGCUGUUUCGGACAGUUUCAAGUCUUUUAAAAAUAUGGGAAAAAUCACAGAGGUACCUUAAGAAGUUAUCUAUGUGUAGGAAAAAGAACGAACACGUUUCGAUUUAUAGGUUGUGCGUAAUGGCUAUUUUCGUAAAGGACUCUUAAAUAUUAACACCCGAAUUUCUCACAGUGUAUAUAUGAGAAAAAUCCGAAACUUUUACAGUAUGUUCAUAUAUGUUAUGAGAGUAUACCCUGAAAAUUUCAGAAUUUUCUGAGCAAAACUCGAUUUAUGAAAAAUGAAGCAAGAUCCGAGUGUUUUGGGCACUUUAAAAUUAGUAAAUCACUUUCUAAAAUUCCAGAAAAAUUUGGGGAUCAUUGUUGGGUCAUAUACUGUCCAAACCCUGAAAAGAAGAAUUUUUGGAAUCAGUUUGGUAUUUUUCCUAAAAAUAAUGAAGUUAUGAAUAAAAGAAAAUAAAUAGUUAAAUGAUGUCUUAAAUAAGAAAAAAGUGAUUUUAAUGCUUAAAUACUCCUAAUAUAUAAUAUUAUGAUUAAUUUAAGGCAUUUUGGUAAUUUAUAAUAAGAAAUAUUAUUUAUGACCUUUUAUGGAUAUUAAAUAAGUGGUUUUAUAAAGGGUGAACAAUUAGAAUAAAUUGUUUAUUGAUCUAAUAAAUUAUUAAAAUAUUAUUAUGAUAUUAAUAAUAUUAGAUUAAAAUAUUAAUCUUAGAUUAAAAUAUUAUUAAAAGAUUAAUAAUAUUAAAUUAAAGUAUUAUUGGAUGAUUAAAAUAUUAUUAAGUAAAUAAUAAUAUUCGAGAUUAAAUAAAAUAUUAUUAAAAAUGUAAUAACAUUAGUAAAUGAAUAAAAUAUUAUUAAAUGAUUAAUAAUAUUAGUAAAUGAAUAAAAUAUUAAUAAUAUUGGUAAAUGAAUAAAAGUAUUAUGAAUUGAUUAAUGAUGAUAAAGCAUAAGUAAGAUUGUAGAUUGCAGAUAAGAUACGCGUGAAGGAGGCAUUUUAUGAGUCAGCCAAGCGGGUGGACCAAUUAGAGAUAGCACUGCAGGCCAUGAAGGUCAGGGUCGAGACUUUAGGACUGGCGUUAGACGCAACAUAUGAGUGCCAACGCAGUGGGACUAGGAGGGCGCAUAUCGAGAUAGGGGAGUCGAGUCGAUCCGUUCGGCGUAGAGUUAUGGAGGGGUUGUUUCCCCAGGAGCCUGUUCAGGUAACUCAGCAGGGCCACCAGUGAUGAUUAUGCUAUGGACUAGUUGUAGAUAGAUGCAUUAGUACCCCUUUUUGUGUAAUAGGGUUUUAUGUUGAUGUAAACCUCAGCAGGUGUGAGUAUCAUUUUAAGUUAAUCCCAUCUUUUGUGUUUAAACUGGGAUAAUAACAUUUAUAAAAAUAUACCUGUAUUGAACAUGUGAGACACCGAAGAUUGGUAUAUGAAUAUAAAUGCAUUAUUAUAAUAUGUGUUGGAAAAUUUAAAUAGUAAAUUGUCUAUUUAAUGUUAUGUGAAUCCAGUAGACUGAAUUGGAAAUUUUUUUAAAGCAAACUUAACCCACUAAUCAGGGAGAAAGACUUCCAAAUCUUGGUAAUUUAAAACUCUCACAUAAUGAUCAUCUGAUUGUUUGAAUACAGUAGCGUAUUACAUGCUAAGUACUUAUAUGAUAAUAAAACUCGAGUAACGUAUUAGAAUUUUGUUUCACCACAUAAUGUCGCCCAGACGUGUACUAAGGAACCAAGAGAUCGAAGAGUCAGUUAAUAAUGCAGCGGGAGCUCAACCAAACCCAAUGCAAGACUUUAUCAACAUGAUGGCUGAAGCUAUGAGGAAUCAAGCUCAACCUGCAGGAAAUCAGGCGUGAAACCAACUAGCCAACUUUAAGGACUUUAAGGCAGUAGGACCGCCGGAGUUUAGAGGAACAGCAGACCCGAUAGAGGCCCAGACGUGGAUAAAGGAGAUUGAGAAGGCCUUCAUUAUUGCUAGAGUAGCAGAAGAGUAGAAAACAAUUUUUGCUACCUACUUAAUGAAGGGUGAGGCUAACUAUUGGUGGGAGGCCAACCAGAACAAAGUCGGGACUGGAAUCGUGACUUGGGAAGCGUUAAAGACGUUGUUCUUUGGGAACUACUUCUCUGAGAGUACACAAGCGAGAAUGGAGAUCAAGUUUUUGGAAUUGAAACAGGAGAAUAUGUCAGUGUCAGAGUAUGCUGCGAAGUUCAAUGAAUUGGCCAGAUUCGCUCCACAUCAGGUGGACACGGAGGUGAGGAAAGUAAGAAGGUUCGAAAAUGGACUAAAGCCGUGGAUUUACAGUAUGGUAGUGGUUUUGCAAAUCACGUCAUUCUCAACUCUAUUGGAGAAAGCUCUCAUAGCGGAAGGUGGAAGCGAAGCGGUCUCAAAGUAUAAUCGGGAGAAGAACAAGAAGAAAAUAGAAGGUGGGAAUCAGAAUGUUAGCAAUGGCGUUAGCAACAACAAGAAACGGAAAUGGAGCAGUGGGGGUGGUAAUUUGGAGAGUCAGCAAGGAAGUGUGCAACAAAAGAAGUCGGUGUGUGGAAACUGUGGAAAGGGUCACUCGGGAGAGUGCUUAAAUGGAAAAACGGUAUGUUAUACCUGUGGACAAGAAGGUCAUACCUCACCCAAUUGUCCUAAGGUGAAGAAGGGAGGUUGUUUUAACUGUGGUGAAGUGGGACAUCGGAUCAAGGAUUGCCCGAGGAAGAAAAGCACGGAUGGCGGAAACGGCAACAGGGGCAAUAACAUUAUGACAACCAGUAGAGGACCAGCCCAGCCAAACAAGCCGACAGCGAGGAAAUUCAAUAUGACAGUGCAAGAUGUCGUGGCAUCUAGGGAGGUGGUGUCAGGUAUAAUUCCAAUCAACGAUAUAAAUGCAUAUGUGCUAUUCGAUUCGGGAGCUUCAUGUUCUUUCGUAUCUGAUGAAUUUGCUCAAAGAUUAAGUUUACCUCGUGAACUAUUAGAACACCCAAUGAAUGUAGAAGUAGCAAACAAAGAAAUUAUCCCUGUAGACUACAUCCAUAGGAAUUGUUAUGCUGAUGUAAGAGGGUUUAAGCUUAACGUGGAUUUGAUACCGAUUCGUUUUGGAGAGUUUGAUGUAAUCCUCGGGAUGGAUUGGUUAUCGAGUCAUGGAGCAGUCAUUGACUGUAAAAAAAACUACGUACACCUAAAGACUCCGAAUAAGUCAAAGGUGGUAUUUCAUGGCAGUAAAUCGCCGAGACAAUCUUCUUGUCUGACGGUGAUGCAAACAAAGAAGUUGCUUAGGAAGGGUUGUAUAGGUUAUUUGGCUCACGUUGUGGAUACCCGCAGAGUCGAGGGUGAAUUGGUUCAGAUACCUAUUGUAAGGGAAUUCGUUGAUGUCUUCUCAGAUGAGAUUCCGAGAUUGUCACCAGAUAGAGAGGUAGAGUUUGUUAUCGAUUUGGCACCAGGGACAUCACCGGUAUCCAAAGCGCCGUAUCGUAUGGCUCUGGUAGAAAUGAAGGAACUGAUAGUUCAACUACAAGAGUUGUUAGAUAAGGGAUACAUUCGACCGAGCGUAUCACCGUGGGGAGCACCAGUCUUAUUCGUAAAGAAGAAGGAUGGGUUAUUAAGGCUUUAUAUCGACUACCGAGAGUUGAACAAGGUCACCAUUAAGAACAAGUACCCGUUGCCCAGGAUCAACGAUUUGUUUGAUCAGUUGAAGGGGAAAAAUACUUUUCAAAAAUCGACUUGAGGACCGGUUAUCACCAAAUGAAGGUGAGGCAGGAGGAUGUUCCAAAGACUACAUUCAGAACUCGGUAUAGACACUUUGAGUUUCUGGUAAUGUCUUUUGGAUUGACGAAUGCGCCAACAGCAUUCAUGGACUUGAUGAACAGAGUGUUUAAACAGUAUUUGGAUAGGUUUGUUGUCGUGUUCAUUGAUGACAUUAUGGUAUAUUCAGAGACGGAGGAAGAACACGCUGAACAUCUAAGGAUAGUGUUGGAGACGUUAAGGAAGGAGAAGUUGUAUGCAAAGUUCUCCAAGUGUGAGUUUUGGUUGCAGAGAGUGCAAUUUUUGGGUCACGUUAUCGACAAGGAUGGUGUUUCGGUGGAUCCAGCAAAAGUAGAAACGGUUAUCAACUGGGAACAACCAAAGACGCCGACAAAAAUUAGGAGUUUCUUGGGAUUAGCAGGAUACUAUCGGAGAUUCAUUCAAGAUUUUUCAAAGAUAGCAUCGUUGUUGAUCAACCUUACUAGAAAGACGGUGAAGUUCGUUUGGAAGGAAAAAUGUGAAGAGAGUUUCAUGGAAUUAAAGAAGAGGCUUAGUCAAGCACCUGUGUUGGCUAUACCAGACAACACGGGAGGAUUUGUAGUGUAUAGUGAUGCGUCACACAAGGGUCUUGGUUGUGUACUGAUGUAGCAUGGCAAAGUCAUUGCGUAUGCUUCACGUCAGCUGAAGGACUAUGAGAAGGGUUAUCCGACUCAUGACCUGGAGUUAGCAGCAGUAGUUUUUGCUUUGAAGAUUUGGAGGCACUAUUUGUAUGGCGAGAAGUGUGAGAUAUCACAAGAGUCUGAAGUAUAUCUUUACGCAGAAGGAGCUAAAUAUGAGGCAGCGCCGAUGGCUAGAAUUGAUCAAGGAUUAUGAUUGUGAGAUUCUGUACCAUCCAGGCAAAACAAAUGUAGUGGCAAAUUCCCUGAGCAGAAAAGGCAGAGAGAAGUUACUGAAGUUGACCAUUCAAGAUGAAUUGGUGAAAGAUUUCGAACGACUUGACUUAGAGGUUAAGUAUCCGAUGGAGACCAAUGAGAAAUUAUUUACAGUGGCAGCGAGCUCGACUUUAUUAGAUAAGGUUAAAGAGGCUCAAGAGGAGGAAGAUUGCGACAACAUCAAGAAGCGGUUAGCUGAAGGGGAUGAAUUGAAAUACAAAACUAAUGGCACCGGUUUGCUGAGAUUCGAAGGACGAAUUUGGGUACUGUUAGUACCAAAAAUAAGAGAAGAGAUUUUGCAAGAAGCACACAGUACGAGGUACUCGAUACACCCAAGAAGCAAAAAGAUGUAUCAAGAUUUACGUCAACAAUUUUGGUGGCCAAACAUGAAGAGAGAGGUUGCAGAAUGUGUCAGCAGAUGUCUACCUUGUCAGAGAGUCAAGGCAGAGCAUCAACGACCGGGUGGAUUACUACAGCCUUUGGAGAUUCCAGAGUGGAAAUGGGAGCACAUCACGAUGGAUUUUGUGGUGGGACUUCAAGCAACGCAAAAAGGGCACGACACCAUAUGAGUGAUUGUAGAUCGUCUUACGAAGUCGGCUCACUUUUUGCCGAUCAAGAUCAGGUAUAGUUUGGAUCAGUUAGCCAAAUUAUAUAUCAAAGAAAUUAUCUCGAGACAUAGCGUUCCAGUAUCUAUUGUACCGGAUAGAGAUCCGCGAUUCACGUCAAACUUCUGGAAGAGUCUUCAAGAAAGAAUGGGGACGCAACUACGGAUGAGCACCGCGUAUCAUCCGUAGACCGAUGGACAAAGCGAGAGAACGAUUCAAACGCUUGAAGACAUGCUCAGAGCUUGUGUGAUGGACUUCAAGGGUAGCUGGGAGGAUCAUCUUCCAUUAGUAGAGUUCGCAUACAACAAUAGCUAUCACGCCAGCAUCGGAAUGCCGCCGUACGAAGCACUGUAUGGAAGGAAAUGUAGAACGCCCUUAUGCUGGGAUGAAGUGGGUGAACAUCGACUGUUGGGACCAGAACUGGUGCAGCAGACCAUAGAGAUCAUCAAGGUGAUAAGAGCCCGACUGGUAGCAGCUCAAGAUUUCCAGAAGAAGUAUGCAGACUUACAUCGACAUAAGAGAGAUUUUGAAGUGGGAAGCUAUACAUUUUUGAAAUUAUCUCCCUGGAAAGGGAAGAUAAGGUUUGGAAAGAAAGGUAAACUGAGUCUGAGAUUUAUUGGACCCUUCGAGAUCUUGAGGAAGAUAGGCAAAGUGGCGUACGAGGUAGAUCUACCUCCUGAACAGGAACAUAUUUAUAAUGUGUUUCACGUGUCAGUGCUACGACCAUAUAAGCCUGAUUACAAGCACGUGAUAUCGUACGAGCCAAUUCAGGUCGAAGAGGAUUUGUCGUGCGAGGAAAUUCUGGUAGAAAUUUUAGAUAGAAAAGAGCAGAAAUUGCGAAAUAAGGUUAUACAUUCUGUAAAAGUUCUUUGGAGGAACCACAAUGCUGAAGAAGCUACGUGGGAACUCGAAGAAAAGAUGAGGGAAAAUUAUCCACAUCUUUUUGAGUAACCCUAUAUGUAAUUCUGGGGACAAAAUUCUUAUAUGGGGGGGAGGAUGUAAUAACCGUGAAUUUUAAGUCACUAUAUAUGUAUGUACAUUAUUGAUAUUUAAAACUUUGUGUUAUAUAGUGAUUUAAUAUGUGACAACAUAUGUGAAGUGGUGCAUGGAUCAAUAAACAUAUAUACUAUAGUUAUGAAUAUAUAAAUUUAUAGAUUUCAUUAAAAAUGAAAGUUUCGUAACCUAAUUAUACAUUAGAUGAGACAAUUAAAUAACCUAAGGGUUAUGGUAAUAAGGAAAUGUUAGUAUUUAAUAUGUAUACUAACUUAAGUGGAUAAUCUUGUUAUUUCAAGUGACUAAUAAUUUUAAACCUAUUUCUAGUAAACCUAAUUAGGUUAUGAGCUAAAGUCACAUGUAUAAGUAAUUAAAUUUCAUAAGAUUGGGAAUGGAAACCCUAAAUAAACAAUUUGGGUGGCAUAUAUUAAAAUUGUUAGACUAUGUUCAUUACAUGGCCCAAAACAAUUAAAGGAGAAGCCUAAAAGAAAUAAAAUGCAAACCAAUACUUAGCCCACUUGAUUUAGGGUAUUUUAGACUUUUGAUUAAUCAAAUUUGUGCAUUAAAAUAAAACCAAAAUGGAGGAGAUAUUGGGGGCAAGGGGACCGGCCCUAUUAGGCCUUUUAAGGCAAAAAAAUUAUGUUAAUCAAGUUCUUUAAUUAGUAACUCUUACAUCAAGUACAAGUGUGUCCAUCUCCCAUUGGUAGAAAAUUUACUUAGCACCCUUAAUCACAUGAUUAGGCUCAAUUGAAAGAGAUAAGGUGAAGCCUAUUAUCCAAGGGACAACAAAAGUAUGGGGGAUAUUAGUUAAAUAACCACAUUUCAUUUGCUAGACAUUUCAUUUCUCUUAUUCUUCUUCUUCUUCUAUUUUUCUCCCAAGCUAGCAAGAUACAAAGAGACAAAGAGAGAGAGGGGUUCGGUUUUGAAGAGAAAGAGAGAGGAGUGUGCUAGCUUGAUUAAUGCACCCUAAGAUUAUAUAUUACUUUGGUAAAUCAAGGAAGGUUGCUACUAGAACAAGGUAUAACCUAAAUCUUCAUCUUCUUCUUCUAUUUGGUGUUAUAGCAAGAUUUGACGGGGUUAUGAACUAAUACUCAAGAUACCCUAGUUCUACAUAUCAUCAUGUAUGAAACUAAGUAUCUUGAGUGUUAGAUCAAAGGUUUAGAGGAAGAAAAUGAGCAUAUGUUCUCUUAGGGGUUAAACCCUUGUUUUUCUUCCACUAAAUCUUGUGUAACUCAAGUUUUACAACUUGAAUUUGUGAUCCGUCGAAAGGGGUGCUAGAUACAUGAGUUAUCUAGUAAACCCAAGUGGUAGAACACAAAUCUAGCAAGUAUUGAAGCCAUGGGGGCUGUUUUCCCCAAAACAGUCCACAUAGAAAAUUAAAGUUUUAAAACCCUAAAAAGCUAUUAUCCCCGUUUUUCUUAAGGCUGUUUCGGACAAUUUCAGGUCUUUUAAAAAUUUGGGAAAAAUCACAAAGGUACCUUAAGAAGUUAUCUACUUUUAGGAAAAAGAAUGGACACGUUUCGAUUUAAAGGUUGUGCGUAAUGGCUAUUUCCGUAAAGGACUCCUAAAUAUUAACACCCGAAUUUCUCACAGUGUAUAAAUGGGAAAAAUCCGAAACUUUCAAUAUGUUCAUAUAUGUUAUGAGAGUAUACCCUGAAAAGUUUAGAAUUUUCUGAGCAAAACUCGAUUUAUGAAAAAUGAAGCAAGAUCCGAGUGUUUUGGGCACUUUAAAAUUAGUAAAUCACUUUCUAAAAUUUCAAAAAAAUUUGGGGAUCAUUGUUGGGUCAUAUAAUGUCCAAACCCAGAAAAGAAGAAUUUUUGGAAUCAGUUUGGUAUUUUUCCUAAAAAUAAUGAAGUUAUGAAUAAAAAAAAUAAAUAGUUAAAUGAUGUCUUAAAUAAGAAAAAUGUGAUUUUAAUGCUUGAAUACUCCUAAUAUAUAAUAUUAUGACUAAUUUAGGGUAUUUUGGUAAUUUAUAAUAAGAAAUAUUAUUUAUGACCUUUUAUGAAUAUUAAAUAAGUGGUUUUAUAAAGGGUGAACAAUUAGAAUAAAUUGUUUAUUGAUCUAAUAAAUUAUUAAAAUAUUAUUAUGAUAUUAAUAAUAUUAGAAUAUGAUAUUAUUAAGCAAAUAAAAAUAUUAAGAUUAAAACUUCAUUAAAAUAUUAUUAAAUGGUUAAUAGUAUUUGAUUUAAGCAUUAAUAAAUGAUUAAAGUAUUAUUAAAUGAUUAAUAAUAUUAGAUUAAAAUAUUAAUCUUAGAUUAAAAUAUUAUUAAGUAAAUAAUAAUAUUCGAGAUUAAAUAAAAUAUUAUUAAAAAUGUAAUAACAUUAGUAAAGGAAUAAAAUAUUAUUAAAUGAUUAAUAAUAUUAGUAAAUGAAUAAAAUAUUAAUACUAUUGAUAAAUGAAUAAAAGUAUUAUGAAUUGAUUAAUGAUGCUAAAGCAUAAAACCAAAAGGGUUCUUAACCAAAAAACUGAAAGAUUGGAAGGAGGCAUUCAUAAAUAAACAUAUUUUUGGAAAUGUGGUGGCCUCGUGAGAGAAUUUAUAUCCUUUGUCACAUCUGCGGUAGUUAUAUGAUUUAGACCACAGUGCAUUGCAAUCCUUAGCGCCUGGGAAUUGGAUUUUCGAGCAUAUCCUCGAUGCUUAUAUGUUGUUGGUACGUGACAUAGAGGAAUACUAUAGGUCGCAGGGAAUACAAAGGUGGGCCCAAUUUGGUUUCGUGAAUUCAUUCUUCAUGCAUCUUGGGCAGAGCUGUGUGCCCCCAACUGAAGAGAAUCAUGCAUGGAGUUUUUGCAAUUCGUAUGUGAACCAAGAUGUUGGCCCACCUUUACAAGAAUGCCAUUACAUAUUCAUGUUGGUGUGUAGUACAAAUCAAAGCCAUUUUUCUUGUUCCUAUUCUCAGUUGAAGAUUGGAUGGUUACGAUAAUUGACCCGUACUACAAUGAUACCAAACAUAUGAAGUUACAAGAAAUGUACUCAGAAUUCGUUAAAGUUGCGGUAUGUGUAGUUUUAAAAUAUUUUACUUUUAUAAUGUUCUUUAAUAUUAAAAAAUUAUUAACCAACUAUUUUGUACAUGCAGGUACAUUUGAUACCAUUUUUUUUGCAAAAUGGUAAUCCGAUGCGUGAGUGGCCCAGCGGUAAUCCUACUGUGCAGACCACAAAGAUUCGACCGAAACAACACAACCACCCAGACUGUAGCAUUUUUGUAUGCAAGUAUGUUGACGGUUUCGUAAGGUCCAAUGUUAAUAUUUGCAAAGAGGAGUGGUCAUUGGAAGAUGUCACGGUCUUUCGUUACCGCAUCGCAUGUGAGCUCUACAAGAAAUCUACAAGAUUACUUCCGGCAUCUGAGAUGUAGAACUUGUCCAGCGUUAAUGUACAUAUUAAUUAAUAAGAAUAUCUAUUUGGUUGAAAUGUAUGGGAUUUUCAAAUUCAUAACUUAGUAAUAUUAAUAUUAUUUAAUCACAUAAAACCACUUCAUAUUAUUAAUACG
This 10273-nucleotide long non-coding RNA is filed under the name Panax ginseng (ginseng). RNAcentral's name for it is "long non-coding RNA (PGIN_LNC013236)". The record is from RNAcentral. Lineage: Eukaryota; Viridiplantae; Streptophyta; Magnoliopsida; Apiales; Araliaceae.